This 379-nucleotide ribosomal RNA is filed under the name uncultured eukaryote. RNAcentral describes it as "partial 18S ribosomal RNA". It matches the Rfam family "Eukaryotic small subunit ribosomal RNA", at positions 592 to 976 of the family's 1831-position model. The record is from RNAcentral.
CAAUAGCGUAUAUUUAAGUUGUUGCAGUUAAAAAGCUCGUAGUUGGAUUUCGGAUGGGAUUUACCGGUCCGUCGUUACGAUGUGCACUGGCCAGUCCUAUCUUGUUGUCGGGGACUAGCUCCUUGGAUUCACUUCCUGGGACUAGGAGCUGACGAGGUUACUUUGAGUAAAUUAGAGUGUUCAAAGCAAGCCUACGCUCUGAAUACAUUAGCAUGGAAUAACACGAUAGGACUCUGGCUUAUCUUGUUGGUCUGUGAGACCAGAGUAAUGAUUAAGAGGGACAGUCGGGGACAUUCGUAUUUCAUUGUCAGAGGUGAAAUUCUUGGAUUUAUGAAAGACGAACUUCUGCGAAAGCAUUUGUCAAGGAUGUUUUCAUUAA